CUAGGGUGCAAGCGUUGUCCGGAUUUAUUGGGCGUAAAGAGCUCGUAGGCGGCUUUGCAAGUCGGGUGUGAAAACCCCAGGCUUAACCUGGGGACGCCACUCGAUACUGCAAUAGCUAGAGUUUGGUAGGGGAUCACGGAAUUCCUGGUGUAGCGGUGAAAUGCGCAGAUAUCAGGAGGAACACCGGUGGCGAAGGCGGUGAUCUGGGCCAAUACUGACGCUGAGGAGCGAAAGCGUGGGGAGCAAACAGGAUUAGAUACCCUGGUAGUCCACGCCGUAAACGUUGGGUACUAGGUGUGGGCCGCUAUCAACGUGGUCCGUGCCGCAGCUAACGCAGUAAGUACCCCGCCUGGGGAGUACGGUCGCAAGACUA
Molecule: ribosomal RNA, 373 nt
Filed under: uncultured bacterium
Lineage: Bacteria
Description: bacterial SSU rRNA
Rfam family: Bacterial small subunit ribosomal RNA
Source: RNAcentral